UUAAGUUCAGCGGGUAUCCCUACCUGAUCCGAGGUCAACCAUAGAGUUGGGGGUUCUGGCAGGCCACCGCGGGGCCCUGGAGCGAGAGAUGUACUACGCUCAGGGCCAUGCGGCGCCGCCACUGUCUUAGGGCCGGCCGCGGACGGCAGGGCCCAACACCAAGCCAGGCUUGAGGGUUGAAAUGACGCUCGAACAGGCAU
Molecule: unclassified non-coding RNA, 200 nt
Filed under: Oidiodendron sp.
Lineage: Eukaryota; Fungi; Ascomycota; Leotiomycetes; Myxotrichaceae
Description: partial internal transcribed spacer 2
Source: RNAcentral